RNAcentral lists this ribosomal RNA (388 nucleotides) under uncultured bacterium. Its description in RNAcentral is "bacterial SSU rRNA". It matches the Rfam family "Bacterial small subunit ribosomal RNA", at positions 28 to 417 of the family's 1533-position model. The record is from RNAcentral.
GACGAACGCUGGCGGCGUGCUUAACACAUGCAAGUCGAGCGGUAAGGCCCUUUCGGGGGUACACGAGCGGCGAACGGGUGAGUAACACGUGGGUGACCUGCCCUCAGCCCUGGGAUAAGCCUGGGAAACUGGGUCUAAUACCGGAUAUGACUCCAUGACGCAUGUUGUGGGGUGGAAAGCCUUGUGCGGCUGAGGAUGGGCCCGCGGCCUAUCAGCUUGUUGGUGGGGUGAUGGCCUACCAAGGCGACGACGGGUAGCCGGCCUGAGAGGGCGACCGGCCACACUGGGACUGAGACACGGCCCAGACUCCUACGGGAGGCAGCAGUGGGGAAUCUUGCGCAAUGGGCGAAAGCCUGACGCAGCGACGCCGCGUGAGGGAUGACGGCCU